Long non-coding RNA from Dicentrarchus labrax (European seabass), 243 nucleotides. RefSeq lists it as uncharacterized. The record is from RefSeq and is a predicted model, not a curated record. NCBI's taxonomy places the organism in Eukaryota, Metazoa, Chordata, Actinopteri, Moronidae. The transcript is spliced from 2 exons.
UUUUUUUUCCAAUGGCUUUUGAAUCUUUGUAAGUUAAGUAUCUGUCUUGCCCAGCAUACAAUAACUUGUUAAUUAUCACAGAGUGAACAUAAAACAUCUGCUGGAGGUUAUUCACUGAUACCAGUGAGCUAGUGAUCGGUGACAUUUCUGGUUUUCGAGACUCAAUCCUCCCAUCUAUACAGUGCUAUGAACAAGUGACCAGUAUCACAACACAUUUAGCUACAAAAGCUAAAACACAACAAA